UACGUAGGGUGCAAGCGUUGUCCGGAAUUACUGGGCGUAAAGAGCUCGUAGGUGGUUUGUCGCGUUGUUCGUGAAAACUCACAGCUCAACUGUGGGCGUGCGGGCGAUACGGGCAGACUUGAGUACUGCAGGGGAGACUGGAAUUCCUGGUGUAGCGGUGGAAUGCGCAGAUAUCAGGAGGAACACCGGUGGCGAAGGCGGUUCUCUGGGCAUUAACUGACGCUGAGGAGCGAAAGCAUGGGGAGCGAACAGG
RNAcentral lists this ribosomal RNA (253 nucleotides) under uncultured bacterium. RNAcentral's name for it is "partial 16S ribosomal RNA". It matches the Rfam family "Bacterial small subunit ribosomal RNA", at positions 524 to 776 of the family's 1533-position model. The record is from RNAcentral.